CCUACGGGUGGCAGCAGUGAGGAAUAUUGGUCAAUGGCCGUAAGGCUGAACCAGCCAAGUCGCGUGAAGGAAGAAGGAUCUAUGGUUUGUAAACUUCUUUUAUAGGGGAAUAAAGGUAUCAACGUGUGGAUAUUUGCAUGUACCCUAUGAAUAAGCAUCGGCUAACUCCGUGCCAGCAGCCGCGGUAAUACGGAGGAUGCGAGCGUUAUCCGGAUUUAUUGGGUUUAAAGGGUGCGUAGGUGGUUUUUUAAGUCAGCGGUGAAAGGUUGUGGCUCAACCCUAAAAAUGCCGUUGAAACUGUAAGACGUGAGGGUGUUUGAGGUAGGCGGAAUGCGUGGGGUAGCGGUGAAAUGCAUAGA
Molecule: ribosomal RNA, 359 nt
Filed under: uncultured bacterium
Lineage: Bacteria
Description: partial 16S ribosomal RNA
Rfam family: Bacterial small subunit ribosomal RNA
Source: RNAcentral